CGCGUAGGUGGUUUUGUAAGUUGGAGGUGAAAUCCCCGGGCUCAACCUGGGAACUGCCUCCAAAACUGCAUGACUAGAGUACGGUAGAGGGUAGUGGAAUUUCCUGUGUAGCGGUGAAAUGCGUAGAUAUUAGGAGGAACACCAGUGGCGAAGGCGGCUUACUGGACGGUAACUGACGUUGAGGCUCGAAAGCGUGGGGAGCAAACA
Molecule: ribosomal RNA, 207 nt
Filed under: uncultured bacterium
Lineage: Bacteria
Description: partial 16S ribosomal RNA
Rfam family: Bacterial small subunit ribosomal RNA
Source: RNAcentral